UCCUGCCUGAGGCUGCAGCAAAGCCACCUGUUCCUGGAAGAUGACUCGGAGGUGACCUCUUAGGGAGGACGGGAAGAUAGUCUGACAGUGACGGAGCAGAGGCCCGGCAACAGGGCCCAGCGUCCAGCUGAGAAGGCCUUGCUGGCCUCUCAGGACUGGCAUGUCCCAUCCCUGUGCUGAAGCAGUGAUUGGGGUGGGGGGUACUUCUGGAAAAAGAAGAGGGACGAGGUAUUUAUCUUGAGAUUUGGUUAGAGGAACAUUCCUCCCCUGGGGAAUAGAAACGGAAGCAGAAGGCAAAUGAAGUCUCAGGAGGGACUCAGGACCAAGCAUCCAGCCGAGCGUGUCUCAGCUGUGGCUCUCUGGACAUCUGGGGCCAGAAAUGGCUCCUCAUGAAGAAGACUGUCAUGACAACCUGAGUGCAGGCACCGUGGCAGGUGGGCCGAGACAGAGAGGCCCCACGUCCAGAUGAAAGAGCCUGGUCUCACCAGAGUGUCUGGGGGAAGUGAGAAUCCACAUUUUUCAUGCUGGUCUAGGAUCGAACUCCUCAGGACAGGGAGGAUGAGGAGGGUGUCUGGCCAUGGAUUCAGAUGGCACUUGUCCUAAACCAAGGUCAAAGAAGGUAUGUGGACUGAAGGUUUCUAUAGCAGCUGAAUUCUCAGGCAUUUUUCUUCAAAGUCGACAAACUAGUUCGAUUAAUGCUAACUUUUCC
Bubalus bubalis (water buffalo) is the source of this 709-nucleotide long non-coding RNA. RefSeq lists it as uncharacterized. NCBI's taxonomy places the organism in Eukaryota, Metazoa, Chordata, Mammalia, Artiodactyla, Bovidae. The transcript has 3 exons. The record is from RefSeq and is a predicted model, not a curated record.